AUGCAAGUCGUACGCACUGGCCCAACUGAUUGAUGGUGCUUGCACCUGAUUGACGAUGGAUCACCAGUGAGUGGCGGACGGGUGAGUAACACGUAGGUAACCUGCCCCGGAGCGGGGGAUAACAUUUGGAAACAGAUGCUAAUACCGCAUAACAACAAAAGCCACAUGGCUUUUGUUUGAAAGAUGGCUUUGGCUAUCACUCUGGGAUGGACCUGCGGUGCAUUAGCUAGUUGGUAAGGUAACGGCUUACCAAGGCGAUGAUGCAUAGCCGAGUUGAGAGACUGAUCGGCCACAAUGGAACUGAGACACGGUCCAUACUCCUACGGGAGGCAGCAGUAGGGAAUCUUCCACAAUGGGCGCAAGCCUGAUGGAGCAACACCGCGUGAGUGAAGAAGGGUUUCGGCUCGUAAAGCUCUGUUGUUGGAGAAGAACGUGCGUGAGAGUAACUGUUCACGCAGUGACGGUAUCCAACCAGAAAGUCACGGCUAACUACGUGCCAGCAGCCGCGGUAAUACGUAGGUGGCAAGCGUUAUCCGGAUUUAUUGGGCGUAAAGCGAGCGCAGGCGGUUGCUUAGGUCUGAUGUGAAAGCCUUCGGCUUAACCGAAGAAGUGCAUCGGAAACCGGGCGACUUGAGUGCAGAAGAGGACAGUGGAACUCCAUGUGUAGCGGUGGAAUGCGUAGAUAUAUGGAAGAACACCAGUGGCGAAGGCGGCUGUCUGGUCUGCAACUGACGCUGAGGCUCGAAAGCAUGGGUAGCGAACAGGAUUAGAUACCCUGGUAGUCCAUGCCGUAAACGAUGAGUGCUAGGUGUUGGAGGGUUUCCGCCCUUCAGUGCCGGAGCUAACGCAUUAAGCACUCCGCCUGGGGAGUACGACCGCAAGGUUGAAACUCAAAGGAAUUGACGGGGGCCCGCACAAGCGGUGGAGCAUGUGGUUUAAUUCGAAGCUACGCGAAGAACCUUACCAGGUCUUGACAUCUUGCGCUAACCUUAGAGAUAAGGCGUUCCCUUCGGGGACGCAAUGACAGGUGGUGCAUGGUCGUCGUCAGCUCGUGUCGUGAGAUGUUGGGUUAAGUCCCGCAACGAGCGCAACCCUUGUUACUAGUUGCCAGCAUUAAGUUGGGCACUCUAGUGAGACUGCCGGUGACAAACCGGAGGAAGGUGGGGACGACGUCAGAUCAUCAUGCCCCUUAUGACCUGGGCUACACACGUGCUACAAUGGACGGUACAACGAGUCGCAAGCUCGCGAGAGUAAGCUAAUCUCUUAAAGCCGUUCUCAGUUCGGACUGUAGGCUGCAACUCGCCUACACGAAGUCGGAAUCGCUAGUAAUCGCGGAUCAGCAUGCCGCGGUGAAUACGUUCCCGGGCCUUGUACACACCGCCCGUCACACCAUGGGAGUUUGUAACGCCCAAAGUCGGUGGCCUAACCUUUAUGGAG
RNAcentral lists this ribosomal RNA (1437 nucleotides) under Limosilactobacillus reuteri. Its description in RNAcentral is "bacterial SSU rRNA". It matches the Rfam family "Bacterial small subunit ribosomal RNA". The record is from RNAcentral. Lineage: Bacteria; Bacillati; Bacillota; Bacilli; Lactobacillales; Lactobacillaceae.